GCGAGCAUUCACCACCUUUGAAUUUCAUGAAUCAUGUUAUGUUUGUAAGUUUAUGUAAGUUUUACCAACGAGAUAUGCGAAGUUGAUAUUUUCAGUCCAAGGAGCCUCCGAGACCACUGAAAACUAGUGGCCGGAGGGUCCGUGAAGGCAGCAUCGCUCCUGGACGGGCCAGUCGUGUGACAUGUUCCCUACGGAUAAACAAACCCACUGUCGCAUAUGGCUCCAAGGAGCAUUUGGAGCUCACGGUGUAACUAUCGCGCUUAAUAUCGAAUAUCAAGUAAGAGAAGACGAACGCAGCGAAAGCGAAGUGACGUUGCAAUGUUCGAAUCCGCUGUGAGUGUCCUGGUCUGCAUGCUGCAUAUCUGUCGCCCAUCCACAUGUCUUUGAGCUCAUGAUCCACUCUGUAGAGAUAACCGUAUCACCUGUGCAUGCUGAACUUUGACUGUGGCACAAUGAGAAAAGAGAGAGAUAACCCUCUGGUAUUGUCGUCCAAGAAACCAUGCCAGGGCCAAGCAAGUAUUGGACAUGUUCUAAAAACGCUACAUGCUGUUUUGGAAGUGGAAGAGGAGCAAACAGGGGAGGCCCUCUAUGUGGGGCACCUUCAGGAACCACAAGGGACCGUGAGGGAGGUGACUUCUAGAUGUGCGUGCCGACAAAGCAAACACUCCAGCAGACCACGUUGUCCCUUUGAAGACAGUGGGCAAUACAGUAACAAUGAGGCAGGUAGUGGCACACGCAAAACGCGGACAAAUGUGGAGCAGCUGCUGCUGAUGCUGUCUGGGAAGAUAAAUAGUGAGCAGGGAGUCAAUAAAUUAGAACGGCAGGAACUGGAGCUAGAAAAAGCCAUCGUCCUCUGCCACUUACUAGACACCCACCAAGAUUUUUUGCACAAAAGACAGAUUGCAAGACAAUUAACCCAAGAUGGCAGCAGCUUCAAUCAAAUUGUGCCUCAUCUAACCCACUCUGGGACCUCCGCAUGUGGAUCCAAAAUCACCCCUUGUCCAUCCAAGAAGAAAACCAAACAGGACCGGCCGAUACUGCAGCCAGUCAGCAGUGACUUGUGUGUACAUGACGCCUGUACCGCGAGUGUAGCAGCGGACACCUGUUGGAGCAGUGCUCUGAAAAUUUGUCGCCUUUACAACACCCCCCAUGCACGACACAACGACCGGCCCCCCUACUCCACACAGUCUCCUGGGUCAGACGAGGUCCCUCCCUUCAAAUGCAUGGACAGAAACAUGGAGAAUGGUGCAGACUACCGGUUUCUGGUAAGGCAAAACUUUGAACUCUUGCGUGCUCUCGAUGAGCUUAAGAAGACAUGCAGCAUACUGAGGGAGGAAAAUUGCCUGCUGCGGAAGAGCAGUGCUCCAGAAACCGAGGAGAAGGUCAGGCGGCUGAGGAGAAAGAACACAGAGCUGGCAGUGCUUGCCAAAAGGCUGGAGGAGAGGGCCCGGAAAUUGCAGGAGGCUAACCUCAAAAUGCUGAGUUCACCGUCACUGAUAAGGCCUGGAUCAGUGGAACAAUACAAGAGGGCAUUUGCACGUCAGCGAGCACGUGACCUGGCCCAACACGCAGAUGCGCUGUUGUGCAAAGACAAGGAGAUCGCUGCGCUUCAGAAGGACUUUAGGGAACUGGAGGCACGACUGGACACUGCUGAAUUUGAACGUUUUUACCCUCCCUUUGUAAGGAAUGCAUCAGCCUGGCCUUUGUGGCACUUGUUGACACAAGCCUGCUCUCUGCUGGACAAAAAUUGUACUGCUAAAAACCCUGCCCUUAACACGAACACACAGGCAGGCAGGCUUUCAGCUGUAUGGAUUUUGGUUUUGGUAUCAACAGAUGAAUAUGUGACAAGAGGUCAACAUGUCUGCUUUUAUUUUCAGGGUUCCCCUAUCCCUUCAAGGAGAGGGCAAUUCGAGAAACUUCUCAGGGAGUCUCAAAGAGAAGUUUUACGGCUCCAAAGGCAGUUGGCCAUCAUCUCAACCACAGAGCACCAAAACCACAAUCCUGAUCCUGGUGGGACAGAGAAGUGUGAGAUUUUUGCUGUGGUCAAGACUCCAGAAGAGAAGGUUGUAGGAGAGACCCCAUGUGUGCCAUUCGAUGAAUCUCCAGCACGGUGUGAGAAAACUCCUGGAAAGGAGGAGGAGUCGGGGCUGCCAGUGACGCCCCACUUGGGCCUCAGCCUGACCCCCUCCGAUCAGGAGAAAAAUUCAGAGGAGAAGCAUCUUCACUAUCUGGAGAGUGAGUUGACAAAGAAGAGAAAAGAAUGUGAAAAUCUUGAGCAUGAAGCAAAGAAGCGGCAGAAGAAAUGCCUGGAUUUGGAGAGCCAGCUUGAGGAUGAGCAGGGCAAAAAUGAGAAACUAAAGGAGGAGGCAGAUCUCCUCAGGAGGAAGGCACAACUGCUCGACCAGACUCGAGUUGACAAUGAGGAGUUGAGGGAAGAACUCUCUAAAGUGACCGCUCAACACAAUUCAGUUCUCGAGGAGAACCAGAGACUCUGUGCCAAACUGGAGAACCUAGAGCAGGUCCUAAAGCAUAUGCGAGAGGUCGCUGAGCGAAGGCAGCAGUUGGAAUUGGAACAUGAGCAGGCUCUGGCUAUCCUUAAGUUCAAGCAGGAUGAAAUCAAACGGUUACAACGGGCCCAGUUAUUUGCCAAGAGGGAGCAUGAAGGGGUGGUCCAGAUGUUGGAGGAGUUGACUCAGCUUGUGUUGCAGAGGGAGCUGUCAAAGGUGCGAGAUCUGGAGGAGAAGUGUCGUAGCCAGAGUGAACAGUUUGGCUUGUUGUCCCGGGAGUUGGACAAGUUUCGACUGCAGGCGUCAAAGGUGGACCUUGCUGGUGCCAGCCUUCUUAACCACUCAGGCCUCUCUGUUCUGACAAAUGGAGUCGGCUUGUCUACAGAGCGAGACUGUACAGAUGGCUCCUGGGAUAUGGAGUCUCUGAGUGAAAUAGCCUUCUGGAGUCUCGAGGGAGGUGACACUCUCUCCUGCCCUGAGGAUGUGGCUGCUGCACUACGCAUGGGUACCACCCCCCAUGCUGCAGGGCUGUCCAGGGUGGAGCGUUCGCCGGUCACCAAACAUCGAGAGCUUCCCACAAUCAGUGUCAGCAAGUCAGCUUCAUCCUCCAGCAAGUCUGAGACCACGAACCGAACCCCAAAGUCUGACACCCACCUUAGUCCGCACAAAUCAAGCCCAACACAUGAGGUUGACACUGCAAGUGAGGUGGAGGAGUUGGAUGUUGACAUUGCUGCUGCACCAUACACUGCUAGCGGAGGAGCAUCAAAGCUUCAGGUUUAUAUUGCACGAUACAGCUAUAAUCCUUACGAUGGCCCCAAUGAUAACCCUGAAAUGGAGCUACCACUCACUGCUGGAGAAUACAUUUAUGUGUAUGGAGGCAUGGAUGAUGAUGGCUUCUAUGAAGGCGAGUUGGUAGAUGGAACUAGAGGACUUGUCCCCUCUAAUUUUGUGGAACGUGUAUCAGAUGAUGAUAUCAUGGGUACUCAUCCACCAGCGACUACUGAUACAACCCAAAACUCCUCUCUAGACAGCAGUUUGCACAGUGCCAGCCACCAGCGUCACCUCCACACAAGUGUCCGUGCCUCGGAUAGAAUAGAGGCCUCUUCUGUCCCUGGCCCCGCCUCAGCCUCUUCCAAUUCGGCCUUGGCUGUCUCAGCCCCCCUCACCAAUGGCCUGGACUUGGAUUUGGAGGAGGUGGGAGUGGACACUGUGCCUUACCCACGUAAGCUCACCCUCAUCAAGCAGCUUGCCAAGAGCAUCAUAAUCAGUUGGGAUCCUCCAUUGGUGCCAGCUGGGUGGGGCAAUGUGUGGAGUUAUAAUGUGUAUGUGGACCAAGAGCUCCGGCUCAAUGUGCCCUUCGGUGCCCAGACCAAGGCAGUGCUGGAAAGACUCGACGUCAACCUUAAAGCCUACCGUGUAUCUGUGCAGAGCCUAACAGAGAAGGGCCUCUCAGACCAGCUGCGCUGCAGUAUGCUCAUUGGUAGGGACGUCUGUGUGGCCCCCACGCAGCUGCGUGUAGACAGGAUCACCGCCACCUCUGCCAACCUGUCCUGGCUGCCUAGCAACAGCAACUAUGUGCACAUUGUGUCCUUGAAUGAGCAAGAGUGUGAGCUGGUGAAGGCUGGCUGCUAUACGCUGUGCCUCAAUAACCUCUUACCCAGCCUGCAGUACACAGUCAAAGUGGAGGGGCGGCCACACCGCACGCCUUGGGAGUUACCUGUGGAGCGUCGUGAACGCAGAAGUGCUAGCAUCAACUUCAGCACACUCAUGGCAGGCCCUCCUGAUGCUCCACUGGAUGUACAGUUGGAGCAUGGUCCUUCACCAGGUAUUGCCCUCAUCAGCUGGUUACCGGUCACUAUCGAUUGUGCAGGGACCUCCAACGGAGUCCGUGUCACUGGUUACGUUAUAUAUGCGGAUGGGAAAAAGGUCCUGGAGUUGUCUUCUCCGACAGCCGGCAGUGCACUGCUGGGGCCCUCCCAGAUCCAAUCCCUCCAGGCGGCUCAGGAGCUCACUGUUCGCACAAUGUCUGCACACGGGGAGUCUUGUGACUCAUUUCCAGUCAAUGUGCCCUCCAAGCUAGCUGCUAUUAUGGCUGGCCCAGUUGCAACCACCCCGGUAGUGCCACGCCUCACUUGUAACCCUGUAGGACCCAAUAACUUGUCCUCUUUGCUUUCUGAUGGAAACUCUGCUGCCAAAGUCUCCACGCUGCCCUGCCCGUCACAUCCAGAUAGAAAUAUUCCUGGCCUCACAGUGAAGCCUGGUGUCAACUGUCCUGUUGUCCCACACUCUGAGGUCUUAGUGUCAUCAUCCUCAUUUGCACAGGCCUGGGCUGACCCCACAUCUGCUCCCAUGCCUGUGUGUGAAGCUACAUUACCCGUUUCAUCAAUCAUAACCCCAGUGAUAAAUGUGACGUCCCCUACGUUGUCAGCUCCUCAAGCGGCCUCUGUAAUAGCACCCGCACAAACAGCAGAGGUGGUACCAGCGGUCACACUGGAUCAACGCAGAGAUGCAGACAGCCCCGGAAGUAUACGUCCUUUUCCAUCCAUCACAGAGUUCAUUGAGGAUCCCUGUGCCAAACUUGGAGCGCCGGAGCGUAUUCCCACACCACCCAAAGCCCCAAUCACAGACCUCCUUAAUCCUCUGGACACAUUAAUCCUGCGACCCCCCAGUACUUCACCACUGGACUCUGAGGUUGAGGAGGAACAAGAGAACAAACGCUUAGUGUCAAUUGAGGAGUUCUUGAGAGAGGACCGGGACCCAGCGUACACAAGGACGCAAGAGAGCUAUGGCACAAGGUUGAUCGAGCUUCCUAGUGACUACCUCGCUGAUAACAGCCGCUCAGACCUGUCUGACAUACUAGAAGAGGAAGAAGAGGAACUUUUCUCUGACCACAUUGUGGAAGUACCCACCAGGGGAUACACAGUUACAGCUGGCAGAGAGCCGAGUCAACAAACUGAAGCAAGUCCAUCAGGGGGGCCAAACUCCAAACAAUCUUCUAAUUCAUCUGAUUUGCAGAGCAGGCAGCUCAAAGCUUGUUUUGAAUCACCAAAGACAAAAGGGGACAAAGGUGAAGUUCGCAUCUUUGUGGCCCUUUUUCCUUACGACCCUGCCACCAUGUCACCCAACCCGGAUGCUGCUGAGGAGGAGCUGCCCUUUCGAGAGGGACAGAUCAUCAUAGUUUGCGGGGAUAAAGACUCUGAUGGGUUCUACAGAGGGGAGUCUGGUGGUCGUUUCGGUUAUGUGCCUUGCAACAUGGUGUCUGAGAUCCAGGUGGAGGAUGAAGAAACCCGGCUGCAGCUUUUGGAACAGGGCUUCUUAUCGACACCAGCAGCCAUAGAAAAAAUUGGCACUCGCACACAUGCACAGCUUCCACGUCGCCCUGUUCCACCACCGAAACCGAGACGAUCCAAGAAAGUGGAGUCUGUAGCACUCUGGGAGGAGAAUGUAGACUCCACCAAUAAAGAUCCAAGCCAGGCAGCCGCUGCAACUGCAGCAAACCCCAAGCCCGGAUCUCGCCAGAUGGUGGCCAUCUUUGAUUAUGAUCCACGAGAGAGCUCCCCAAACACUGAUAUUGAGGCCGAGUUGACCUUCAGUGCCGGAGACAUCAUCCAUGUGCUUGGUGAAAUGGAUGAAGAUGGCUUCUUCUAUGGCGAUUUGAAUGGACAACAAGGCCUAGUGCCCUCCAACUUCUUGCAGGCUUUACCAGAAGAUGCCCCAGCAGAACACAUCUCAGCUCAGCCUGCACCAGAGCAAAAAAAGGAAUUGCAGGAAAGCUCCUCUCUCGAGGUCCAAGAUGGCGGUUCCUCAACAAGCCAAGAUACUCUGAUCCCACAAACAGAAGCUCCUUGCUCGCAUCCAGUAGAACAUUCAGAACCACCACCCCAUCUGCAAGUGCCCACAAGCACCACAUCGGACCCAGGCCCAGUUCCAGGUCCUGCUCCAGGGCACGCCUCUCGUCUAAUCCCACCCCCAGCAGACAGGCCGGUGCUGGCCGACUGCUCUGCAAAUGGCAAGAAAAAGAAGGGCUUCUUCUCUAAAGGCAAGAAACUGUUCAGAAGGUUUGGAUCCAGCAAAAAAGAAUGAAAGGCAGGACCUCAGACUUAAUCUUCUUUUUUUUUUUUUUUUUCUCAAUGAAGGACUUUCUGUCUGCUCUUUGUUAUCGCAGUCAGGGGCUAUCAGAGCUGUCCAGAAUUCUACAUUUGCCUUAGUGCACUGCUUGAUUAGCUGGAAAUUACAGUGUUACCCUGUCCAAUUGUGCAAUCGCUCUACUCUCAUAGUUCCUUAUCAAAGCGUCCCGUGCUUCCAUAUGCAAUAUAAAAGAUCAAAUGUGCGGUCGUCUCCCUACUACAGAAGGCUACUGAAAGGCCUCAGCCUUCUGCGUCCAGGUAAUAACAAAAAAAAUGCUUUACACUUUAUCAACUAGAAGCAGGAGUCCACCUCAUCUGCUGCGCGACUAUUCACUCGUCCUCACGUGUUUCUGAGUGUGUGUACAUUUGUCACACUGAUCCUGCGGCAAUCGCUUUCCCUCAUUGUACACCCAGUGGAUAACUCUCUAGAGUACGUUUGAGAAGUUGUGUAAUUGUGUGUGCUCCCCAAAGCAAACACCUUUUUCAGAGAUUAACACAGGAAGUCUUUUCCUGUUGUCACCACCAUCACCACCAAGUUAUAUACACAACAUAUUUCAUGUAUUUAAAAGUUUGCAUGCAGCAUUCAUACAAAAAGAAACUUUUAGAAACCAUAAUAAAAGGUAUUAUUUAUGCACUGCAUCAAUUUGAAUUCAUAUGUACUACAUCCUCAUAAUUUUGCACAGCACGUUGGCAACGUCUUUGUUUGUCAAGUGUGGUGAAGCAGAACUUUUUUUUUUUCAAUGCGCAUAGCUGCAGGUGUUCUUGCACAUCGAGCUCAGAAAACGGCGGCUGUUUAGUUUUGUAAAAGUAGCAACACACACACAUAUGGACACACAGAUUCACACCUAAAGGGUUAGGGUUAAAAAUUUAGAUUGUCUUGGGUGAACCGACUGUACACCAAAAUACCACUGGGAGAAGCAUAGUGAGAACAUGAAAAGCCCAUGCUAAUGUUCAAACUCUAAACCUUUCUAUGGGGCAGUUCUGUUCACUAUGUUGAUGGAGAACAGUUGAGUUCAAAUGCAAUAGUGUACAGCGCUUCAUUUUUUUGUAUAUCCUACUGAACUCUUCUGAACAAAUUUUGUGACUUGAAGGCAAGAGCACACAGGUGCAUCUCAAGUUUGUUUCCCUCGUGGGCCUCAUCAUAGUUGUGGUUGCCUUCAGGGAGGCACUUAUAACAAAUAUAGAAUUCACAUUGGCGUAAUGGUCCACCCAAAAACGUUGUAUGGUACUGUCAAUACUUUGGUUUUAAGUUCACCUUUCAGUUGAGAACAAAUGACUUAUCUCCGGUAACGAGGGACAGAUUUAAGGAUGUUCAAAAUACACAUUAACAUCUCCAAGCUUUUCUUUUAAGGAAAGCGCAAGAUCAAUAGUUAGUCCUCCUUUAUCGUAAAUAAUCUGUGCAGAUGAGGGCAACAGUAACCAUUUGCAUUAUUAGUCAAUAAAAAUACUAACCAUGGAUUUGUUAUUGGUUGUGCGCCAUUUGAAAAGCCUGGGAGAGGCUCUUUAAUGCUGCUUGUGCGGGUACGCUAAUAAUCUCCCAGUAGUAUUAUAUAAUUGCCGCGCCAAUCAAUUAAUACCUUUUUUUUUUUUUUGCUAUAGUGGUAACUAAUUUUGUAAAAAAAAAAAAAAAAAGAACUGGACAGAAAAAUUGCUAUCGUGUGACUCAGUGUCAGCUUCAUCAUGUUUGUGAGCCCACGUGGUGUGGCUUUAGUCUUUGUGUCUACCCAAGUGUGGUCACUACAGUGUUAUAACUUAACUGUGUGCAGUAUUUUCAGUCCACUUUACGUUUUUCACACACUUGUGGAUGACGUGUAGUGUGAGUGUGCUGUACUGUGUGAAACUAUAUUUCCAUUGCAGUUGAAGUGAGUGUGCGUCCGAGCUCGUCACAUAACAUUGUGACUCCUGUUGGUAACUUCUCAGGUUAUUCACUAUGUAGCUUGCGUAGCCUCCCGUCAAAAAAGUGGAAAAAGUGCAGAAAAUGCCAAACUCUUUAGGUGCUUUUAGUUCACUUCGUUUAGCUACAAAGGAAGAGGAUCUAGUCACGCUCCUGUCGUGUCACUCACUUUAGUUACACGUUAAGCAGUUAAGUAAUUAGUCGCUGUUAGCCAGAAGGAGCAUGAAGAUGCCAAGACUAUAAAAAGGAGGCGGCAGGGGCGGGGCAUCGCAUGGGCGCUUUAUUUGUAAAUUAGCCGGGACAUAAGCAAGACUGAGGAUGUAAUGGUCUUUUUUUGUUUGCUUGUUUUUGUUUUGUUUUCAGAAGACGGGAGUUUCUGAAGUGUACAGUUGUUUUGGUAUUUACGGCCUUGAAUGCACAAGUAUUAUGUCUACCUGCUGUUUAGUUAGUAGACCGCACUUCUCCUACUCGGCAUCGCGGCCACAUACGCAUAGUUGACAGUAUUUAGCCUUACCAGAAGACGUUGCUUAGUCUUAAUAUGUUGUUUACAGAAUGUUUAUUGAUUGCAUGAAUACCAAUAUUAUGCCCAAAUUCUGCCUUAUUAUUUAUUUAUUUAUUCAUUUGUUUCAUCUCCAUGUUUUCUUUGUCUGACACGUCUACAAUGUGAGUUGUAGAUGGUCUAAAAUGCAGUGAAAAAGUAGUUGGAGUUGUGUAUAUAAUGGACUGUUUGGACUCCCCCCCCCCACCUCUCCUACAUUUAUAAUGUAAAACCUUUUUUAUAUGAUGUAAAAAAAUGCUUUUAUGACCUAAAUAGAAGCUCAUCUGUAAAUAUUUUUAAUAUUGUUUUUGCAUGUUGGUAUGGUGAAGGCGUAGAAUGCAAAAGAAUUGAAAUAUGGGUCUUUUCGCAUAUAAAAUAAAGUAUGUAUAUUUUCACACAAAACAGAAGCACUCAGAGCAUGUGUAUUUCUUAAUUGUGAAAGAAAGGAUGCCAAAGAUUUGACUGACUCUUUAUUUCAUCCCUAUGACAUUUAAUUGAAUGUACGUACACGAUUGACCCCAAACCCGAGUUGAAGUGAUGAUAAAACAGAGGAAAGAGUUUGCAGGCUUUGCUGCAUGCUACACAGCACCCAUGUGACAUAGCAGCGACAACACUCUGGGUAACAUAUGUAGCCUCGCGAGACAAAAGCCGCUUCCUCUUUUUGGACUUCCGGGGAGAGGCCGCCGUUUAUUUGUUCCCUGAAGCCAACAGUACACUCAUCCAUAAAGUAGGAAACACUACACUGUGGCGAGGAGUUUAGUAGUGCUUUCUACUUUAUGGAUGACUGCACUGUAUAUCUGCUGGACUUCUGUUAUCUGUAGUCUCCUCUUCUGGCUGCACCUGCACAUGAACACAACAACCCCCAACCCCCUUUCCACUAAGACUCUGGAAACCACACGUGAAUGUUGCACGUUAAAAAUGUUCAACGUGCAACCUUCUCUUCCCUAUCGCCCCAUAAAACAAUUACUUCUUCACUUGAAAAGUGUAUUUGAUUAGUUUAGUUGGUAAUCUUUUUUUCCCCCCAAAGGUAGAAAAAUGGCCACCGCAUAAACACCACAGCAAGUACUAUCUUGAGGAAGCCAUUUUGGCUGGGCGAUCGUCUUCGUCCAGCCGAGCGGGUGCCGUCGCCCAGCUCCACAAGUGAACGAAGAAGAAGAAGUUGUCUCCUUUUGAACCCUCCUCAACCACGUGAUGUAACCACAGGAAAGAGGUCUAACAGUCACAGCCGCUCUCCUUCUGGUCUUCCGUCUUAACACUUUGCCUCCUACAGAUGGUUAGAAGAAGAAAAUAUGGGCAGACAGGUUAGAAUGUCGUUUUUUUCCAGCCAUUAAAACACAAACUACUUGGGGAGAUGAUAUAUCUACUUGAACUAAAUGUGAGAAUCUUCUGUGUUCAGUUGGUGUAAUUGCCAAAAUAUUUCUAUUUUCUGUUUGACUAAUUUUCAAAUCAACUUUUUCAAUAUUAACUUUGCCUAUUUAAGUCAAAUGAAGGCCGAUUUUGGCCUUUGACACGUGCACCUAAAUGCAUCGCUACAAGAGCGCAAGUAAAUUAACAUAUUUGGAAAUCAUUUAAAGAGAGUAUUACUCUUAAGGAAUCCGAUUCGUUAGGCAGUUUGUUUUCCCGUUUUUUUUUUUUUCUCGUUUGUUUUUUUUUGUAAAUGUAA
RNA transcript from Syngnathoides biaculeatus (alligator pipefish), 10729 nucleotides. It is a transcript of the gene named RIMS-binding protein 2, with no coding region annotated. The transcript is spliced from 34 exons. NCBI's taxonomy places the organism in Eukaryota, Metazoa, Chordata, Actinopteri, Syngnathiformes, Syngnathidae. The record is from RefSeq and is a predicted model, not a curated record.